This is a long non-coding RNA of Serinus canaria (Common canary), 3403 nucleotides long. RefSeq lists it as uncharacterized. Lineage: Eukaryota; Metazoa; Chordata; Aves; Passeriformes; Fringillidae. The transcript is spliced from 3 exons. The record is from RefSeq and is a predicted model, not a curated record.
GCUUCAGUAGGGGUGUUUUCUACUUUUGUUUCCCCCUUUUUCAUAAUGUGAGAAGACCAUAGCCCUUACUUUUACAGUCCUCUGGAAUAAACACAAUAGGAGCUACAUCGCUUUCUUUGGAAAACUGUAACACUCCUUGCUGAAGUAGUGCUCCUAAAGGAUUAAAAAAAAAUAGUCAUGCCAUUUCUUGGAUGGAGUGAACUCUCCUCUCCUCUCCCUCUCCUCUCCUUGUUUGUCCACUUACUACAAGAAAUUAACCUGAUGGACACAGAUGCUGAAAGAACACAAGCUUCCAGAAAAGCUCCUCUUGACAUUUAAGAAAAAAUAACAGGAUUUCCAAUGAGGACUAGACAUCAAAAAGCCAAACAGCCAAAGGCUGUUCCCAGAAGAGGAUUUGCCUGUCUGAGAGCACAGACCUGAGAGGUUUCCAGGAGGAGCAGGCUCUUUCCUGCUGCCUGGCAGGCAGUGUGGUGAGGACCAAGCAAGCCCUGACUGGAGCCAGCUGAAAUUCAUGCAAUUCUUCUCAUUCAGUGCUACCCAACACGGAAUGGAAUGGAAUGGAAUGGAAUGGAAUGGAAUGGAAUGGAAUGGAAUGGAAUGGAAUGGAAAGGAAGCUUGCUGUAUUGCACAACUGCUCCUGCACUGAAGUCCCCAGCACAGUAGCACUUGGGUGAUUAAGCUGAGAAGAAACUCCUGGAAAAAACAAGUCUUUCCUGCAGUUAAGUUUGAACUUCAAGUGUCAACAAAUUCAAACCCCCCAAGAAUAAUGCUUUCUCCCCACAAAAUUUUUCUCUUCCCCUUGCUCUUGAUUCAGCCACUGAAGUUGCCAGCCAAAAGAAGCUUGAGGCAGUUUUGCAAUGCAGAUCCUUAGGGAUGGAAAUUAAUGUCUUCUUGGGAAAAACCAUCAGUCUGAAAUGUUGAUUGCAAUACUUACUCUUUCUCCAACAAAACAUGCUGUAAGCUGCAUAAAAUUGUCCCUUAAUUGUUUAAUUUAAAUCAGCUGUACUGGGACAUAUUAAGGAGGCAUCUGUUCUUUAUCUACUAAUAGACAUAGAAGGUGCUAACUGUCAUGUGAGUGGGUAGCACUGGUUCAUUACAAAUAUCUGCAGCAUGACCUAAUUUUAAAUGUGUAACAAAAGAAUUCUGUAUUUUCCAAAGAUGACAAUAAUAGCAAUAUAUGUUGUCUUUCACAGCGAGAAAUACCUCAGAGGGAUGCACUGAUGUUCUGAUGCAGAUUGGUCUGAAAGAUUUUUUUCCUGUUCUUUUUAAAAUAUUGAACACAACCUUGAAUAGUAUUUCAGCACUUUCUCAGGCUGAGGAAUCAGAGAUAAAAGCCUCUUCCCAUAAUACAACAUUUUUAAUGGGAAAAUGAGGCAAAACACCUUUAUCAACAUAGAAUGCUUUUUUUUUUUCUAAUUAAGGAAUCUACCUAAAUCAGAGUUUGCAGUCUCUCUCUGUGUCUUAGCAUUUCACCUUCCUUUGCCUCUUAAUCCCUUUUAUGUGCUUCAAUCACAACUUCAAGAAGCAGUGUGUGGACCCUCUCCUUCCUCCAGUAUGAAUGCCUUGUGCCAAAACACGGAACCAAAUAGAAAGCUUCCUCAGUGUACAUUAAAAGAGACAAAACAGUAAGCCCACUCAGUUCACUUGUCCUGUGAAAUGCCCAGAGAUGCACAAUUCCCUUGUGACCUGCUUUAGGGAGGUGCCAAAGGUAUGGUAUUCACAGCACCAUAUACCUUGUGAUAGUAAACAUCUGUGUUAUCUGAAAAGGCUGAAUCAAAGCAUGAUGUGCCACACAGUUAAUCACAGAAACUUUGUGGGACAAAGUGUGCAGUGAGCAAUCUAUUGCCAUGACUGCCAUAUACUCAGGAAAUUGCAGCACUCAAUUGGCUCUUGGAGUAGGAUAGUAUGAUUUUGCUGUUUUGACACUGUGUUGCUUGAAGUAGUAAAAAUAUUUGAAUGGUGUCACUCUGCCAUGAGACCUACCUGCCACCCCUUCUUGCUGCCAACAGUAAAAGCUUUUUUGUUUCCUCUAAGCAAGAGACAAUUAAGAUAUUUUUCUAAUCAUGUACUAUUUUAAAACCUGUCUAGAAGGUGUUACAGAUGGUUUGAGGAUGUUAACAAGGCUCAGUUGAUCCUAAAUUACCCAUUGAUAUUUUUAUUUUCUUUUAAUCUAUGUUACGAGUUCCCCUUCUUUUUUUCUUGGUGGAAUGAUUAAGGUCAGCCGCUUUCCAGCCCCAAAGGCUCAAAGCAAUAAUUUUGCUAUUGUGCAGUUAAUGUCAGGCUUUUUUUUUUUUUUGGCUCAUUGACUUUGUUUUUUGGAUUUGGUUGCACUAUUAACACUCCUUCUGCCACAGCAGACUAGACAUCCUAAGUCUAUGCACAAAAUCUAUUUUUCUGUCUAGAUGACAAAAUAGUGAAGACAUCCUUUCUGUUAGCUUUUAUCCACAACAGAUUUCUCUGAGUAGUUGUUGAUUGCAGGAAGUUUUAAUCCAGAUUCAGAAAUCCUAGUGACAUCCUGCUUUCUGAAAGGUGAUGUGAAGCAUUUUCUCGUGAUAAGGACAGUCAGAUUCCCCCUUUAAGGAAUCUCAUGUUUUGCAGCUGAAAUUAACAUAUCCAUUGGGGGAAAAAAAUAGAUUUCCUUGGUUUGCUGAGAUUUCUUCAUUUUUAUUCCUCAAUCCUAUGAAAAGGUAGUGUAGCCACAAGAUCCUUGCCUUGGAUGGUUACACUAUUGAAUACCUGCAUUACAAAGUCUUUCUCAGUUUUGAAAAGUAUUUACAGAAAACACUACAGCAACAUUGAGAACCAGCUAGCUGGACUUUUUAAGUGUCUUUAAAACACGUGAGAUGUCCAAGCAGGGAGGUGAUCACUAGAAGACAAGCACAGGUAACCCAGAAAAUCAUAUGCCAUUUUGCCUUUCUAAUUUUUAGUUAUAUUGCAAAUAUAUGGCUGUUUAAUUAGAGUGUGUUUUAUUUUAUUUUAAGUUUGGUUUUUUUUCCCUAAGAGUAUUUUUCUAGGAAGCCUCACAGGAACAUGUGUCUUCUAAGGAUAUGAAACAGAAAAACCAGGACUAUGAAGACAAAAAUCAAAUUGAGGCAGUUUAAAAUUCACCAGUACUCAGUGUGACGAUCUCCAGCAUAUUACUCACACUUCAAGGGUAUUGUCUUAGCAUAAAAUAGCUUAUAGGGGGGAAAAAAGGAAAAAAAAAGCACGUACAUGGACUUCUGCUAAAGUUAAUGUGAUGUUCUGUGGGACUGGUAGUUAAAUGGACUGGUGCCUGUCGAUUGUGCUAUCACUUCAGCUUGUAAAACCAAUUUUCUUGCAAGCAGUCCAUAUGUCAUUAGCAUUGUAAGUGCUGCAAGAAAAUAAUUAGCUUCUGGUGUACUCUAUAGCUAAAUCACUGGAG